UGGGGAAUCUUGCGCAAUGGGGGCAACCCUGACGCAGCGACGCCGCGUGUGUGACGAAGGCCUUCGGGUCGUAAAGCACUGUCAGGUGGGAAGAAGGCGUCUGCGGCUAUGGUCGUAGGCGUUGACGGUACCGCCGAAGGAAGCACCGGCCAACUCCGUGCCAGCAGCCGCGGUAAGACGGAGGGUGCAAGCGUUGUUCGGAAUCAUUGGGCGUACAGGGCGCGCAGGUGGCCGAGCAAGUCCGAUGUGAAAACCCGGGGCUCAACUCCGGAGUGGCAUUGGAAACUGUUCGGCUUGAGUCCGGGAGGGGCCAGUGGAAUUCCUGGUGUAGGGGUGAAAUCCGUAGAGAUCAGGAGGAACACCGGCGGCGAAAGCGACUGGCUGGACCGGGACUGACGCUGAGGCGCGAAAGCGUGGGCAGCGAACA
Molecule: ribosomal RNA, 427 nt
Filed under: uncultured bacterium
Lineage: Bacteria
Description: bacterial SSU rRNA
Rfam family: Bacterial small subunit ribosomal RNA
Source: RNAcentral